AAUGCACCAAUUUGUAAGUCGCUUUGGAUAAGUGCGUCUGCUAAAUGACGUAAA
Non-coding RNA from Salmo salar (Atlantic salmon), 54 nucleotides. The record is from Rfam. NCBI's taxonomy places the organism in Eukaryota, Metazoa, Chordata, Actinopteri, Salmoniformes, Salmonidae.